UGCUUGGGUACUGCCAUGGAUAGCGCAUGUGUUGGCUUUGUCCAGCUUUGGGCUUUUUCCCACAUUGAUUUUAAAAAGACAGGAGCCACAGAUUUUGGAGUACUGCAAAAUGACUUUCCAAAUUGAUGAACCAUGGACUCCAAGCUGGAUAGACACAGAAAUGAAAAGAAGGGACUAAUAGGGAAUAAGACGUGUGAUCCAUGGCCCGAUGGCCCUGAUGGACGUGAAGAUCCACUGUUGUGGGAGGAGUGGAACACUAACACUGAAUGAUGGAGGCUGUGGUCAGAAACAGGGAUUAGCAACCCACUCUCCACCAAAUUUCAAGUCACUAGGGGCAUUAUGCUAUGUCCCAGGAGUGGCCAAGGCUUCAAGGACCAAUGAUAGACCUGCUGCUCUAACCUAGGCCUGCUGAGGAGUACAAUUCAACCUGUGUUUCUGUGUGGUUCAGCAAUCUUGCUGAGCUCCUCUAAGUCAGUCCAUCCUGCCACAGCUGGGAAGAAUCAAGAAACUCUCCAAGAAGACGUUUAUUGGUUGAUAAAAAUCUGUUUAUCUGCCUGUUGCCAAUGAGAAGACAGGUCUGCUGACCAUGGCAGGCAUGGCAGCACGUGACACCGUGUUUGCUGCUCACUGCAUGUUCCACCUGAACUUUCCCGUCCGGUCAAUGAGUCUUGACAGUGGGGUGAAGGGGACUCACUCUCAAAGACCAAGGCUGACCCGCUUUGAGUACAAUGCCUUGACCUAGUUACUGUCACUGUGGUUUUGUCUUCAGGAACUAAAAGGUACAAUAAAAACUUGUUCAUUU
RNAcentral lists this long non-coding RNA (802 nucleotides) under Homo sapiens (human). Its description in RNAcentral is "non-protein coding LINC02365:11". The record is from RNAcentral. Lineage: Eukaryota; Metazoa; Chordata; Mammalia; Primates; Hominidae.